This 497-nucleotide ribosomal RNA is filed under the name uncultured bacterium. Its description in RNAcentral is "bacterial SSU rRNA". It matches the Rfam family "Bacterial small subunit ribosomal RNA", at positions 903 to 1397 of the family's 1533-position model. The record is from RNAcentral.
AAAGGAAUAGACGGGGACCCGCACAAGCAGCGGAGCAUGUGGUUUAAUUCGAAGCAACGCGAAGAACCUUACCAGGGCUUGACAUGCCCCUGACCGCAUUAGAGAUAGUGCUUUCCCUUCGGGGACAGGGGACACAGGUGGUGCAUGGUUGUCGUCAGCUCGUGUCGUGAGAUGUUGGGUUAAGUCCCGCAACGAGCGCAACCCUUGUCUUUAGUUGCUAACAAGUAAUGUUGAGCACUCUAGAGAGACUGCCGAUGAUAAAUCGGAGGAAGGUGGGGAUGACGUCAAAUCAUCAUGCCCUUUAUGUCCUGGGCUACACACGUGCUACAAUGGUCGGUACAACGAGGAGCUACACAGCGAUGUGAUGCAAAUCUCUUAAAGCCGAUCCCAGUUCGGAUUGCAGGCUGCAACUCGCCUGCAUGAAGUCGGAGUUGCUAGUAAUCGCGAAUCAGAACGUCGCGGUGAAUGCGUUCCCGGGUCUUGUACACACCGCCCGU